GCUGCUCCGAGCUGCGCCUGGAGCGUUAUGCAACUGUAAUGUCCUUUUAAUAUGAAGACAACGGUUCCUGUGAAAUGUGCGUAAGAAGUGUCCAUGCUGAGUCCGUUAUGACAGUAAAUACCCAUUUAAUGCAAAGAGACAUGAUGCUUUCCAUCUGAGACCAGGGACUACUCACAAUACAGCUAUUCAUUAAACAGUGACGCAACCUGAGCUGAUGCUCAGUCCGUGUUGGCCAGACAUCCUGGUUGACUUGGCUGCAUUAAGGCUUCAUCAAUAAAGCAUUAAACAAGUUAUUUAAUUUUGUCGUCUGUGUUAGAACGUCCUCUCCCAUUUUAACACCAUAGCAGAUUGAGUAAAACUGGAUUAUGCUACGAUUUUGUUAUCUGAAGCUGACUCAGAGCUCGCUGUCAAUAGUUUGCCUCAUUUUACUUAUUAUACUUUCAACUGAUUAAACUGUGUUCACAUUUAUAACAGUAUAUUUUUUCCUACUAAUUACUAUAACUGUGCUAAUCAUUACUACUACUAGUUAAAUAGGACUACUUCCAGUACCAUUUAUUAAACAAGGCUGAUAAAGCGGAGAGGUUUUCAAUCUAGUCUAUAGUUUCCGGGUCCACUCUAGUUUCUGUUUAUCCAUGAUGUAGGUACAUUGAUUUGGACUGAAUUUAUCACAUUAUAGAUUUGAUCCAAUUAAAUCAUACCAGGUUCACAAACGUGCUGUGAGUCAGCUUUCAUCUCCUGAUUAACGUGUGCACAUCGAAGGUCAUGUGAGUCAGUUAUGAUGACUGCCUAUUCAUUAUUUCAGGACUACUUCCACUGUUGUGUUCCAGCCCAUCUCUUCUUUAAUGAGGCUAUGGAGACUGUGUUUCCCAUGCGUUGGCUCUCUGGUGUGUUGAACUUGUUCCAGAUCACUUCGAGGGUGGAACUAGUCCAUUACCUGCACAGGUGUUCUACAUGUUCUUUGGUUUGUAUUCAUCUUUCAAUCCUCUCUUUCUCUGACUCUUCUGAUACUGCAGGUGCAGGAAGUAAACUUGUUAGUUUGUAGUAAGAGCUUCAUAGCUUUUAAUAGUCCUACCUUUUUUGUUUUCUUCAGAUUUCCACCCUUGUAUGUUUUCCUGCAUGUCAGUGUUUUUUUUUUACUGUAGUUCUGUAUUUUCUUUUAAUUUCUGUGGGUUAUUUUCUGUUUAUUUUAUUUAUUCGCUUCCUGUGUUUUUAUGGUGAGUUUUCUGGUUCUUUAGUAUUUGUCCCCUGCAGUUUGCAGUGAUUGUUACAAGCAAAACCACUGCACAACCAAAGAACAGUAGUGAUUUUUAUAGUCCUUUGGUUUCAUCCCAGGUUUCUACACCUGCCGCCUACAGAGCUUGUCGUCACUAGGCCUGCGUUGUUUGACAGAUACAUCGCCUGUACUCUGACUCUGAGUCUGUGGUGCAUGGUGAAGUAAGAUGGGAUGUGUGCUUCACGAGCAACCCUAUUACGGUAAACUCUUCUCAGACAUUUGAGGUUAAAUCUAAAACAACACAGAUGGUGGAGCGUCCAUUUAAUAACAGCCGCUGUCCUCAAAAAGCAUAAAUCAUCCAGAACCGCUCCGUUCAGUCAGGCUGGAUGUGACGAGGCUGGGCCCUCAGAAUGCUCCUUUAUUGGAGGCUGCUGCAGAGUUAGCUAUGACCCUGGUGAACUUCAGUGAAGAAAUAACUUGGCUUCUUAAAAAUGCACAGCAUUCCUCAUGUAUCAGAAACAGCUGCAAGACAUAGUUGCUCCACUCAUGUUCCCAUUGUCCCUCUGACUGUUGUUAGAGUUCAUGGUGUGAUUCUUCUCAGUUAGUUAGUGGAAGCUUGACUAUGAUGAGCAGUAAUGUGUUUAUCAGUGCUACUAUGGGAGGUGCAGAGCUGUAACUACCCUCUGGUAAAGCUGUACAGUCACACAGCUCCACGGCACAUGCUCUAAACCUUGUGCGAUAUAUUGGCUGUUUUGGGGUGUAGAUUACAUCAUCAGCUCCUGCAGCUCUGACCUGCAGACCUGAUGAAUGUGCUCUGUCACCUUUGUUGAUGAUGUUUUGUCCGUUGCAGGUGAUAACUUGGCUGCAUGUGGUCAUGUAUGUUCAAAGAUAUGUUUAUUCUGUCUGUCUGUAUCUGGAAGUCCCGCAGGAUCUUGGGAGUGCCUCUGUGCUGUCCUUCGGCCCAGCUCUUUCAAGCCAUUGGUAGGAUUUGUUGAGAUCAGCCACUUCAGUUAUGUUCCGAUGGCACUGUACAUCCCGUGCAAGGGCUUGUCCUCUCAUGAUGGUCCCUCUUCCAGCAUCUCAUCCUCUGUUCUCCACUGUCAUCUGUUGGUGCCUUGACCUUGAUGUAGGUAUAUGGGAGAGGAAGGCAUCACACAACAGGCAUGCACAGUGGAUGGUGGACUUGAGGGAAGACCACAGCAACCUCCCUGAACAGAAUCCAGUGACUAUCACAGUGGCAGACAUCCAAGUCUCAGGUAUGAAAAACUGGACAGCACCCGGCCCUGACAUGAUCCACGCCUACUGGCUAAAAUGCUCACUGCAAUCCAUGAGCGCCUGGCAGCACAAAUGAACCAGCUGCUAAGGGAUGGGACUCACCCUGAAUGGCUAACCGAAGGGCGAACGAUCCUGAUAAUGAAGGAUCCCUUAAAGGGUAGAGUCCCAUCCAACUACCGGCCAAUAACCUGGCUCUCCACAACAUGGAAGCUCAUGUCAGUCAUCAUCGCAGCUAAGAUAAAUGGGCACAUGGGUCAAUACAUGAGCAAAGCACAGAAGGGCAUAAGUAAGGAUACCAGAGGAGCCAAACACCAACUCCUGGUUGACAGAACAGUCGCCCAAGACUGCAGAGUGCGACACACCAACCUGUGCACAGCCUGGAUCGACUACAAGAAAGCCUAUGACUCAAUGCCACACACAUGGAUCACUGAAUGCUUGGAGCUGUACAACCUCAAUAGAACUCUAAGGGCCUUCAUUGCAAACUCGAUGAGGUUGUGGAGAACCACCCUUGAAGCCAAUGAGAAACCACUUGCCUAAGUAUCCAUCAAAUGUGGCAUAUACCAAGGAGAUGCACUGCCCCCACUGCUGUUCUGCAUAGGUCUGAACCCCCUCAGCCAAAUAAUAAACAAGACUGGCUACGGAUACCGACUCCGGAACGGGGCCACCAUAAGUCACCUCCUCUAGAGAUAGAUAGAUAGAUAGAUACAGAUGCUGAGACUGUACGCUAGCUGCAAGGAGGGAGGCUGAGGACUAGUGAGCGUGAGAGUCACUAUCCAGGAUGAAACAUCAAAGAUCCAUAAGUACAUCAAGGAUAAGGCCCCAAGAGAUGACGUGCUGAGUGAAUGUCUCAGGCAGUGGAGAACAGAGGAUGAGAUGCUGGAAGAGGGACCAUCAUGGGAGGACAAGCCCUUACACGGGAUGUACCACCAGAACAUAACUGAAGUGGCUGAUCUCAACAAAUCCUAGCAAUAGCUUGAACUGGCUGGGCUUAAGGACAGCACAGAGGCACUCUUCCUGUCUGCACAGGAGCAGGCCCUGAGCACCAGUGGCUACAACAGAUCCCUGGAAAAACAUCCGACAUCUCAGUCCAGAAAAGUGCAGUCCUAGGAACAGCAAGGAUACUGCGCAGAACCCUCAAGCUCCCUGGCCUCUGGUAGAGGACCCAAGCUUGGAAAGCCGAUGAGACCACCCGUGGAGGGUGAGAGGGCAGUUUUUUUUAGUGACAUGAUUUGUUUGAAUCAAACUAUGAUUAUCGAGAAUGUGAGAAGGUGACAACUUCCUACUUUAUCUCUUUACAUCUGAAUGACCCCUUUGUCUUCAUGGCCACCAAGAGACUUAUUGUAUUAUGUCAGGAUAAGGCAGCUACAGUCUAUCCCCCUGUAGACACAGAGGCACCUCCAGAGAAGACUGGCCUCAAUGUUAUAAGGUCUGAGAGUGACUGGCUUUAACAGGAGUUGUCUGUUAUUCCACUGUCCAAGGUUUUCCUAUCAACAGAACCAGGAUGUCAGAUGAUAGGGAACCACCACACCAAGUGAUGUCAAGCUGGAUUUUACAAAGUCACAUAAAUUCUGGUUAAAGGAGUAACCUACUGUGUAGGUGAGGAAAGAAUGAGGGAGAGAGAGAGACAAUGUUAGUUAAACAUGGAACAAUGAUGGGAGGUUAUUGGAUAAGAGAGAUAGAAGGAAACAGAGAAGCUCAGUGUAUAAAUUAAGUCCCACAACAGUCUAUGUCUACUGCAGCUUAACUAAGAGAUGGUUCCUGUGACUAACAAUCAUUGCCAGUGACCUGAACCAUCUCUAACUAUAAGCUUUAUCAAAAAGGAAGGUUUUUAGCCUGAUCUUAAAAGAUGGAGAGUGUGUCAGCUUCUCGAAUCUGAACAGGGAACUGGUUCCACAGGAGAGGAAGCUUGGUAGCUAAAAGCUCUGCCUCCCGUUCUACAUUUAAAGACUCUAGGAACCACAAGUAGCCCAGCGCUCUGAGAACGAAGUGUUCUUCUGGGAGCAUAAGGAACUAUGAGGUCUUUAAGAUAAGAAGGAGCUUUAUCAUUAAGUCCUUUGUAGGUAAGUAGGAGAGUUUUAAGUUAUAUCCUACAUUUCACAGGCAGCUAGUGCAGAGAAGCUAAUGUAGGAGAUAUGUGAUCUCUUUUUCUAAGUCCUGUCAGAACUCUGGCUGCAGCAUUUUGAAUUAGCUAUAGGCUUUUUGAGGAGCUGUUAGGACAUUCUAUGAGUAAGCAGUUACAGUAGUCCAGCCUAGAGGUAACAAAUGCAUGGAUCAGUUUCUCUGCAUCGCUCUAAAAGAGGAUGCUUCUGAUUUUAGCUAAAUUUUUUCCUGCUCAAUUAUGACACCAAGGUUCCUCACAGUACAAACUGAAGCUAAUAGUAUGUGUAUGGAAUCUGUUCAACAAAUAUGAUUUAAACCAUCACAGUGCUGUUCCUUUAAUUCUGCUGCUAUGUUCUUGUCUCUGAAAUCAGGUUCUUUUCCAAUCACAAAGUACGGUGUCCAGUUGAAAGUAUUUAUGAUAAUUGGUAGGCAAUUAGGCAACCUUUAUGCAAAUUUGGCAAGUUUUAGUUACUGAUGGAUGAACUAAGUAAAGAGUAACAAUGUCAAAAAUGGUUCACUGUGUUGAAACAUUGGAUAAACUUGCGUUGGCAACAUCUGCUGUUAACUCGUCACAUUACAUUUGUAUUAUUUUUUAUUUUUUUUUUUGUAUUAAUGUUAUGAAACUGAGGCUCUAGUUGAGCACAGAAAACAUUGAAGUCAUCUUAUUAAUCUGUUUGCUUUGUGACUGUGUUUUAGAAACAACUACUAACUGUCUGACUGAUGUGUUGGUGCUUUUGUAGCUGGGACACUGUAUGACAUUAACAGAGACUGAUCCCUGGAAAUCAAAGAUCAUUAUUCAAAUACAGGCUCAUUCCAACUUAUUGUUUGCUACACAAUCAUGCUCACAAACAAAGCUUAGCUUGAAUCUGUGUUCUACUGUCUGUGUUCUACUGUAUGUAUUUAAACUCCUGCUGACUCUUCCCCUGAAACCUAAUGAAUCACUCUACUGCACUAUUGAUCUCAAACACUUUUUUAAGCGCCAUUAAAGUUUGGAGGAUUCUA
Long non-coding RNA from Betta splendens (Siamese fighting fish), 5590 nucleotides. RefSeq lists it as uncharacterized. The transcript is spliced from 2 exons. The record is from RefSeq and is a predicted model, not a curated record. NCBI's taxonomy places the organism in Eukaryota, Metazoa, Chordata, Actinopteri, Anabantiformes, Osphronemidae.